CUUGGCCAUUCCCCAGAGGCAGAACCUGUUGUGCAUGUUUAUAGGGUUUAGCUUCACUCACUGCAGCGUACAUCUGAAGUCACAGGAGGAAAGAAGCACUUGGUCAUCACCUUCAGCACUUCCACUGAAAAUCCUUAAGGAAAGUAGCAGCAGUGGUCCUUUCUCCAGCAGCAAUGAGAGGACAGCUAGAAUGAAAUGCUGGUGUUUGCUAUCUACAGGCUAAAAAUCAGGGUGAAGUCUGUAUGCCUCUUGUGAUCUACAGUGCACUCAUUCUACCUGACAUCAGACCUGAGAUGUGAUUGCCCUGUGAAAGACCUAACUGAGAGCAAUCUGGAAAGAACAAAUACAGCAAGAGUUGCUUACAGGACCCCAAAGUUAUGUGAUCAGCUAAAGAAGCAGAGAUGUUUGCUUAGUCACUAACAACUGAAUGAAAUGCAAGCAGGAAAGAGCAAGAUGUCAUGUGAGGCUUUUCAACUGCAUGGAGAAUCUGGUUUUGAUCACUGCAGAGAACAUUGCUGGUUUGCUUCUGCAGCACGUGAUCUGGGGUCAUACUCCUGUCUGAAGUCAUCUCUAUCCAGAGCUUCUACUAGCAAGAGGGUUUGUUUGGAGUUGUUUUUUUUGUUGUUGUUUGGUGGGGUGUUUUGUUUUGUUUUGCUUGUUUGUUUGUUUUUGUUUGUUUCCUUUUUCUUUUCUUUUUUACAAGAGCAAGCUCAUCUCAAUUUAGAUUUCUUUACCACAGAGAAGGAAUAUUAUAAGUCUCCUUUUCAGGAUUCUGCUCCUGCAUGCCUUUCUCUCAGGGCAACCUUAUUUUAAGACUGAUACGAACAUAAUCAUCAUAUUCAUACUUUUUAAAAUCAGUGUGUUCUUUGAAAAGGUAAGAGCUAUUUCAACACCUUCAGUAAAAUACUGUUGGCAUUGAAUGAAUACUAACAGUAAAAUAGGAGUGAGAUGUGCUAACAUGCUUACUGGCUCCCUUGCAUGCUGGAUUCAGACCUCACCUAUACUCUGAUGCUUCUAAAUGAAGGUGGAUUUAUUCUUUUAUUUUUCAGAGCAAAAUCUAUUCUGGAUUGUUCUGAAUUGGUACAGAUAAAAGAACUCUUAGCAGGCAAAUAUUUGGUAUGAAAGCACUAAAACAACAAACACUGCAGCCUGGUUUUAUGAGGUACUCCAAACACCCCUUUGCUGUUGACCAUUCAGGUAUCUUAGGCAACCAUUUAGUUUUUUCAUACUGAAUCAUCAGUGUUGUGUUACUGUAUUUUUUCUGCUUAUAUACUUACAGUUGAGUGUUAAUCAGCCUGGCUCACAAAACUCACAUAUAUGAGUUACUAUAAAAGUUAGGCACAUUUACUCCAAAGAUAUUUUGUUAGUCACAUAUACACUUGCAAAUUUGUAAAGAGUGA
This 1400-nucleotide long non-coding RNA is filed under the name Chloebia gouldiae (Gouldian finch). Its description in RNAcentral is "Erythrura gouldiae (Gouldian finch) lncRNA (ENSEGOG00005001981.1)". The record is from RNAcentral. Lineage: Eukaryota; Metazoa; Chordata; Aves; Passeriformes; Passeridae.